Molecule: long non-coding RNA, 319 nt
Filed under: Setaria viridis
Lineage: Eukaryota; Viridiplantae; Streptophyta; Magnoliopsida; Poales; Poaceae
Description: long non-coding RNA (SVIR_LNC001026)
Source: RNAcentral
UCCCCCACGAGUUAAUACAAAAGGAUAGCAUCCCCUAUAUAGUCAGAUGUGGUGUGUAGGUGGGAUGGCAAGGAAGCUACGCGCGAGGCUGGAGACUAAAGGCUAAUUCUCUACUAAACAAAAGAGAGCAUUUCGCUGAUAUUUUCCUCUUAUUUUGUAAGCAGCUGUGUGCUAAUCUAGUUUUCUUUUGAUACGACGUGCUGCUGAUAUUUUCCUCUUAUUUUGUACGCAGCUGUGUGCUAAUCUAGUUUUCUUUUGAUACGACAUGCUACUAUUUGGUGACAGAUAAUUCGGGAGAUGACUUUGGGAGGACCUUGGC